AUUGAACGCUGGCGGCAUGCCUAACACAUGCAAGUCGCGCGAGCUGUAGCAAUACAGCUAGCGGCGGACGGGUGAGGAAUACAUAGGAAUCUGCCUCAGAGCGGGGGAUAGCCCAGGGAAACUUGGAGUAAUACCGCAUGAUGUCGAGAGACCAAAGCCGGGGACCGCAAGGCCUGGCACUCUGAGAGGAGCCUAUGUCUGAUUAGCUAGUUGGUGAGGUAACGGCUCACCAAGGCGACGAUCAGUAACUGGUCUGAGAGGACGAUCAGUCACACCGGAACUGAGACACGGUCCGGACUCCUACGGAGGCAGCAGUGGGGAAUAUUGGACAAUGGGCGCAAGCCUAUCCAGCAAUGCCGCGUGUGUGAAGAAGGCCUCGGGUUGUAAAGCACUUUAGGCU
This 400-nucleotide ribosomal RNA is filed under the name uncultured bacterium. RNAcentral describes it as "bacterial SSU rRNA". It matches the Rfam family "Bacterial small subunit ribosomal RNA", at positions 30 to 441 of the family's 1533-position model. The record is from RNAcentral.